AUCGACGAUCACGACUAUGACGUGAAGAUGCGCUCCGCCGUCCGCUUCAUCGAGGAAGGCGACAAGGUCAAGAUGACCAUGCGCUUCCGCGGUCGCGAGAUGGCGCACCAGGAUCUCGGUCUGAACGUGCUCGUCCGCGUGCGCGACCAGCUCCAGGACAUCGCCAAGGUCGAGCAGAUGCCCCGGGUCGAAGGUCGUAUGAUGGUCAUGGUGCUGGCUCCGCGCUGAGCCCUGGCCAAAAGGGAACCUGCGGGGCGGUCCGCCGCCCCGCACCUUCUGCUAUGACGUUCUUUGGAUGAUGGAAAAUCCUA
RNAcentral lists this unclassified non-coding RNA (311 nucleotides) under Azospirillum oryzae. RNAcentral describes it as "Long range pseudoknot". The record is from RNAcentral. Lineage: Bacteria; Pseudomonadati; Pseudomonadota; Alphaproteobacteria; Rhodospirillales; Azospirillaceae.